AUUUCUUUUUAAUGAGAAAAAUAUAAAAUUAUAUUUACGAAUAUUUGUUAAUGAUAUGGGCAAAGUGGGAACCAGAUUAUAAACAUAUGACCUAUUUAUAUAAAAAAGACAUGGAAGUUAGAUCAUCUGGAAGGGAGAAUUAAGUAUUCCAAGAAAACUGAGAAUGAGGGUUAAUAUACAGAAAACACUUAUGUAGCCUUCUAUCACUCAGGCGAACUGUGAUGGCUAUUUUUUCUCUUCCUUCUCUACGGCAGCUUUCCAAAAAGACGCAUACCUACUGCUCUGAGGGGACUAAGCCCUGAAAAUUGAGCUACCUGUCGAACCCAGGCCUGGUUUUGUGAGUUCCAAACAGGCUAGAGCCUACCUGCAGGAAGAAGGAGUUCUCUUCUGCUUUAAGUCUCAUCUGGGGAGUGCCCCAUGUCUGGAGGCUCCUGGGGUCCUCACUGGAUGAGAGGAGCAAAAACAAAAACAACAAAUUCUGCCCACAAAAUGCUUAUUACAAAGGGAAAGAGAGAAGGUUUUCGGUGGAGAGAGCUGGAAAACACCACCUUCGUCAAAUGAUCAAAGUGCACAUCAUUAGUAACGGGACAAAUGAAAACAACAUACCCCCGGUAAGACACAAUAAGAGCAUAAUAUCAUUCCUGUGAUGUGUAACCUGAAUCUAAUCAUUGAGAAAACAUCAGACAAACCUAAAUUGACAGACAUUCUACAAAAUAACUAGAACUGCAAUCUUCAAGGUUAUGAAUGUCAAGAAAAGACUGAAGUAAACUGUGUCAGAUUAAAAAGGAGAAUAAAGAGACAUGACAACCAAAUGCAACGUGUAAUGCUGAACUGGCUUCUUUGCUGAAAAAAGACCUACUUGGGAUAACUGGUGAAAUUUGCAUGGGGUCUGAAGACUGGAUGGUUGUAAUGUGUUGAUAUCAGUUUCCUGAUUUUGAUGGCUUUAUUGUGGCUAUGUUCUUGUGUUUAGGAAAUACACACUGAAGUACUCAGUGGUGAUGGGUUAUCAUGUCAGUGACUUGGUAUUAAACAGAGGGAAGAAAAUUCUUUAUACUAAUCUUACAACUUUUCCAUGGGUUUCAGACUGUUUUGAAAAAUUUAUGUUCUAGAGGAAGAGAAGAGUAUGGCACUGGAAGGCCGAUUGCAAUCUGUGUAUGGGCAGGAUUGCAAUCUGUGUAUGUUGCCUAGAGGGUUUCUUUGUACCUUGCUAAGGCAGAGGGCUGGCUUUUUCCCUGGAAACUUCACUCUUGCUUUCCAAGGCGUCUGGUGCCUCUAAUUCCUGAGCCUUUCUAGGGUGCUGCAGGGAUAUUGACUUGCUUCUUGUCAGUGUCUCCUUUGCAAGUACCCUCUGCACUCGUUUGAUUUUCCCUGAAAGUAAAGUCUAAAAUAAGAACCUGAGUGGAGGUAGUUUAUUUGAGGGAUGACCCCAGGAAGCAAGAGUGAAGAAGUAGAGAAAAGCUAAUCAAAGGAAGAAGGAAAAGCCAAUGGAAAGUUACAUUACUAAGGUCAUCACUGAGGCAGUUGGGGGCUGAAAAGGGAAGAGUAUGCCUCUCUGAAUUGUCUGCCCAAGGCACUGGACACUGAAGCAUUCAUCCUCUCUUUCUGUGGGCCCCCUUUGGUUGAGGACUGCCCCCCACUGGCAUUAAUUUGGGGAGCCCCAUCUCCCAAGUGCCUUUUCUCUUACACAUGAGCCAAGCAGCUUUCAUAAUAUUGAAGAAGCUCCAAGGCAAAGAGAGAAAAGAUUCGGAUUGCAUGUAUGAGGCACGACACUAUCAGCACAGGUGAGUUUCAGCUGUGCCUAAAGUCUCAGAUGGGCUGAGAAUAUACGUAUGAGGUAUCAGGCAAAUCUGCUGUAGCAGCUUUGCCUUCCUCCAAUUUCUUGAGACGAUUUCUCCACCUGCUUUCUCUAUUUCAGAUUUCUCCUUGUGUUCCCAAAGAUGGAGUUUGUGUUUUUGUUUGUAAGUCUCCUUGUUGGCAAUGGGCUGAUGUCUGAGUAAAGUAAGGGAAAGGACUUUAAUUUUGCUAUCUUGUCCUCAGAAGUCAACCAAUUGAUAACUAAUAUAACACUUGUUUUUAAUGUAUCCAAUACUUGAUUGCACCACUGUGAAUGAUUCCCAAACCCCACCCCCAGCUCUUCUAGUUGUCUCAUUUCUCAGGAUUUCUUUGGCAUUGCUGGUUAGUGAAGUGAGAUUUUCUCAUUCUAGGCAAACCACAGGUUGGACUCCUCCCAUCCAAGAGGGAAUGCAAUUCAGGCUCCACAAUUUUCACAGAAGCUCGUCAGCUUUAUUAUCUAUUGGUCUUAUACAUUUUUUUCUGUUUCUCUCUUUUUCUCCCUCUCUCUCUAGUGCCUGUUGGUCUUACAGUUUUUUCUUUUUCUCUCCCUCUCUUUCUUUUUCAGAUGGGAUCUCACUGUGUUGGCCAGACUGGUAUUGAACUCCUGGCCUCAAGUGAUUGUCCCACCUUGGCCUCUCAAAGAGCUGGGAUUACAAAUGUGGGCCACUGCCCCUGGCCCUUGUCUUAUAGUUAAAGCCUAUCUGUGGUCACCAAAUAGAUGUCAGAAGUUCUUGUCAAGAAGCAAAACUCAGACUUAAGUGUAAAUACCUUCUUAUAAGAAACACAGUUGAAAUUUAAAAGACCAGUGAGAAUGGUGACUGAGAAGGGAACAUGCCACUCACAGA
Callithrix jacchus (white-tufted-ear marmoset) is the source of this 2678-nucleotide long non-coding RNA. RefSeq lists it as uncharacterized. NCBI's taxonomy places the organism in Eukaryota, Metazoa, Chordata, Mammalia, Primates, Cebidae. The record is from RefSeq and is a predicted model, not a curated record.